Long non-coding RNA from Anas platyrhynchos (mallard), 2175 nucleotides. RefSeq lists it as uncharacterized. The record is from RefSeq and is a predicted model, not a curated record. Lineage: Eukaryota; Metazoa; Chordata; Aves; Anseriformes; Anatidae.
CUUGGGAAUUCCAAUGCACCAGGCUGAGCAACUCAAGGGAAGGGAACACGAUAGGAAACGAUCUGCCUGUCCUAAAUCCCAAGCAGAUGGUGCAACUCAGCCCGUCUCCUCCAGCAAGGAUGAUCCCUGGGGCCUCCCUGCAGAGAGUGUACAUUUCAAAGGAUAAUUCCAGCAGCACUCCUUACCCUGAUCUGGAGGCUUCUGAGCAUCUAUGUACUUCAUCAUUCUUCACAUAUACCUGCCCCUGCCUCGCACCAUCUCCCACUGGGGCUUGCUUUUCUCUUCUAAAAGGCCACUAAAACUCCUACCUACCUGCCAGCAAGUGCCAAUUUUUCUUAAUGAUUUGCAGAGGGAAUCUACACCUUCAGAAGUACAAUGUAUAUGAAACCAGGACAGACUCGGAGUUUUAAGCAUCCAGCUCACUAAUGACUUGUUAUAAAUGUUUUCCAAACUGCUUUGUGUCUCUGGGAGGUGAGAAUUAUCACUGUAUCUCAGUAAAAAUGAAUAUAAAAUAGGAGCAGCAUGCUGCACACUUCACAUUAAAUGCUCACAAAUAAACCAUUUGCCAUUCUGAUGUCAGCAAGCGUCUCCAUCACACACAUCUUAUCAGCUGCCAGGACACGGCCGAGUUCUACAUGGAGUUUUCUUCGUCCCACUUUUCAGGGUUUUAAGAGUCAGCACAAAACCCGAUUGUAUUGUGGGUGACCAAAGUACCGAGCAGGCAGUAAAGGAGAGGGUGAAGAAUAAAAUAUUUUACUCGGGACAGAAGCAGACUGACCCCCGUGCUCUGCGAGUGCCCCGAGCAGAGCAGGGCGAGUGGCAGCAGAGCCUGGGAGGCAGCAGGCAGAGGGAAAGGGAAGGGAACCACGCAGCCCCGCAUUCCAGCAGCCUGUGCCCCAGGACAGGGGCCCUGCAGCACAUUUUGCCAGGGGCAACCCACGCACAUGCACCCAGAGCGCCCGUGCAUGAGCAGGUGAGACGUGCCAUACGCCGGGCUGCGGCAUCAAGGUGCCCGUGUGGGCUGUGAGUGAGCUGCGCACUGAGGAAGCAGCUGGGGCUGGUGAGCAGAUCAAAACCAAGGGGCUCCCUGCUCGUGGGAGACGUUACAGAACACUUUUGCCUCCUGGAUGAAAAGAAAACAAACUUGUUUUUAAAUUGGAAAUGAAGACGAUUGGCCUAGGAAUUUGUCUUAGAAAAAAUCAUGAAUUCAUUAAAAAAUUUUCAUUUCAAAAUUUGUUUUCAUUACUUUUACAUUAUUUUAUGACAUCAGUAGUAGCGCAUAAUGUGACCUGUCAUAUCAUGUCAAGUCAUGUCAUAAUAUGCAUAAUAGUAGUAGAAGUGCAUAAUAUUACAUGUCAUAUUGACAUAAUCAGAAUAUUCUAUUAUUAUUGACUUUGUCAAACUAAUUACAACACAGACAGGAAAUACUUUGCUAUAGAAAAUAAGAUUAAAAGGUGCAACUUUUACAAAUUAAUAGUUAAUUCCAUUUGCAAUUGUAUCAUAAUGUAUUUGUAUAAAAACAAAUACUUGACUAGUAUAUUAUGCUAUGCUAUGCACUGCUACAUAUAAUUCCAUGGAAAUAAUGCAAUAAGUAAAAUUAAAACAAUCUAAGAAAAAUUUAUCUUGAAACUACUUCAGUUGCUUUAAAUAAAUAAAAAAACUUCAAAACAAAAAAUAAGAUUUUUUUUUUCUAAACGUGGAAACUAAGAGAUCUCAGUACAAAGUAACUCAUGUUAAAAUAGCCAUAGUAGAGGGAUAAUGUAUUGGAAAUCAUCCCCCCCCUCGCUCCGAAGUACCAGUGAGGGAGGAGCAGCACUGGUGGCAUUUCCCCACGGCGUUGCACAGUGGUGUGCCAGCUGUGCGGCCGUGCACGAGCGUGCUCACACCCCUUGGACACACACCACGGACCCACUCCUCGUCAGAGGUUUCCCCCUUUCCACACCCAGGCUCACGCUGUGCCCACUGGGACUUCUAAUUGACUUGACAUGUUAUAAAUUGCCUAACUUGGCUGCGAUUGCUGUGAAGAAUGGUACUUUAAAGGACUCAAUAUCUGUAUAUCUCCCUUUGAUAAACAUUGGCUUGCUGAGCUUAGAUCUUAUUUAUUUACCCUUGGAGCAGGUUCAUUACUAUGUAUUAGGUAGAUAUGACAUAUUUAUGGAAAUAUGGGGACUCUUU